UUAAGUUCAGCGGGUAUUCCUACCUGAUCCGAGGUCAACCUUUGGUGAUAAAACACAUGGUUUAGACCAGAGUGGCCGACCACUGAAAUGCGUGCUUUAAAAGCUCGUUGCAUCUAGGGUCCGACACGACUCCGUCAUUGUCUUUGGGACCCGUCCGUGAGGACGAGAUCCAACUGCAAGCUAGGCUUGAGGGUUGAUAA
This 200-nucleotide unclassified non-coding RNA is filed under the name Chaetothyriales sp. Its description in RNAcentral is "partial internal transcribed spacer 2". The record is from RNAcentral. Lineage: Eukaryota; Fungi; Ascomycota; Eurotiomycetes; Chaetothyriales.